CGAGAGGACCGUGUUGGACUGACCUCUGGUUUACCGGUUGUGGCGCCAGCCGCACCGCCGGGUAGCUAAGUCGGGAUCGGAUAAGCGCUGAAAGCAUCUAAGUGCGAAGCCGGCCACAAGAUUAGAUUUCCUUAUUAGGGUCGUUGUAGACGACAACGUUGAUAGGGUGCAGGUGUAAAGACGGUGACGUCAAAGCCGAGCACUACUAAUCGCCCGAAACUUUCCUUCC
Molecule: ribosomal RNA, 229 nt
Filed under: Prevotellaceae bacterium
Lineage: Bacteria; Pseudomonadati; Bacteroidota; Bacteroidia; Bacteroidales; Prevotellaceae
Description: partial 23S ribosomal RNA
Rfam family: Bacterial large subunit ribosomal RNA
Source: RNAcentral